RNAcentral lists this microRNA precursor (202 nucleotides) under Oryza glumipatula. RNAcentral describes it as "MIR812 microRNA precursor family". The stretch from base 25 to 202 matches the Rfam family "MIR812 microRNA precursor family", at positions 27 to 205 of the family's 205-position model. The record is from Rfam by way of RNAcentral. Lineage: Eukaryota; Viridiplantae; Streptophyta; Magnoliopsida; Poales; Poaceae.
UAUCCAUCCCAAAAUAAAUUUAUUUCUAGGUUUUGACAGUCUGUCUUAUUUAUUUAUUUUAAUUAGUAUUUUGAUUGUUAUUAGAUGAUAAAACAUAAAUAAUAUUUUAUGCAUGACUUAUUUUUUUAAGAUUUUUUUAUAAAUUUUUAAAAUAAGAUAGACGGUCAAACUUUCAACCUAGAAACCCAUAAAUGAAUUUAUU